Molecule: ribosomal RNA, 596 nt
Filed under: uncultured eubacterium WD2118
Lineage: Bacteria
Description: bacterial SSU rRNA
Rfam family: Bacterial small subunit ribosomal RNA
Source: RNAcentral
GAGUUUGAUCCUGGCUCAGGAUGAACGCUGGCGACAUGCUUAACACAUGCAAGUCGAACGAGACUAUGUGAACAACUUGUUGUUUACAUAUUUUAGUGGCGGACGGGUGAGUAACGCGUAAGAAUCUGCCUCGGGGCGAGGGAUACCAACUGGAAACGGUUGCUAAUACCUCAUAAGCUGAGAAGUAAAAGGUGUACUGCACCACCAAGAGAGGAGCUUGCGUCUGAUUAGUUAGUUGGUAAGGUAAUGGCUUACCAAGGCUAUGAUCAGUAGCUGGUCUGAGAGGACAAUCAGCCACACUGGGACUGAGACACGGCCCAGACUCCUACGGGAGGCAGCAGUGAGGAAUUUUCCGCAAUGGGCGCAAGCCUGACGGAGCAAUGUCGCGUGAAGGAAGACGGCCCGUGGGUUGUAAACUUCUUUUCUUAGAGAAGAAAACUGACGGUAUCUAGGGAAUAAGCAUCGGCUAACUCCGUGCCAGCAGCCGCGGUAAUACGGAGGAUGCAAGCGUUAUCCGGAAUGAUUGGGCGUAAAGGGUCUUGAGGUGGCUGGCUUAGUCUACUGUGAAAGAUCAGGGCUCAACCCUGAACAGGCGG